This 255-nucleotide ribosomal RNA is filed under the name uncultured bacterium. RNAcentral's name for it is "partial 16S ribosomal RNA". It matches the Rfam family "Bacterial small subunit ribosomal RNA", at positions 524 to 777 of the family's 1533-position model. The record is from RNAcentral.
GACAGAGGUGCCGAGCGUUAGGCGGAAUCACUGGGCUUAAAGCGCGUGUAGGCGGGGCGGCACGUCCGUCGCUGAAAUCCCCCGGCUCAACCGGGGAACGGGCGCGGAGACGACCGCCCUCGAGGGGCGUAGGGGGACCUGGAACUUCCGGUGGAGCGGUGAAAUGCGUUGAGAUCGGAAGGAACGCCCGUGGCGAAAGCGAGGUCCUGGACGCCUGCUGACGCUGAGACGCGAAAGCGUGGGGAGCGAACGAGG